CUGAGUUUUGCAUGUACAGCAUACCAUAUGUCCGGACAAACAUGUCGUUUAAGGAUCUUUCUGCAUUCUCCAAAAGCUCUCGGAAAAAUUCUGCGGGGAAAACAAGGAAGUGUUAAGUGAAAUAUUAGUAAGAGUCUUCUGAAAGCAUCACAAGGUUCAAAAAAGCACAGAACAUCACUUUGCUUGCAGAGGUAAUUUUGAAGUACCACAGAUAAACACCAACUACAGUUUCAUCCUAGUCUCAUCCCGAAGGACAGAGAAACAGUUAUUGCUUACAGUUUCAGACCAGACUUUAAAUUUGUUCCUUAUCUUGUAAGCCAUAAUGAUGUCAUAAUCAAAAACAUGCAGGCACUUAUUUUCCAUUUGAAACCUACAGAGCUUCCUACCAUUCCACCAGCAUAUACGGUCAUAAAAAAGAUAUAAUUCAGACACUAAAAUCAUCCAGCUUUCUGUGCAAGUCUCUGCUGGCUUCAGCAUCGCCGGAUUCCCAAGCAGGGUGAGAACAACUGAAAUGCUUCCACUGAUCUACCACAUAAAGCCACAUGCUUUGGUGAAUAUAUGCAGUUGCUCUCCUUUCACUCCUUUCUCUCACCCCACCCUAAAGAUUUAACACUACAUAUUGCCCAGGGGAAAAGCACCGUGGUGUUGAUUUAUUCACCAUCAGUGUUCUUACACGAUAUUCUGAUGAUACCCAACUGUACCUCCUCUGUUAGAAGUCUCUUUGCUAGUGCUAUCCUUCAACAUAUCCUCGCACCAAGCCGUGUGCCAAACUGGUUGUCUCAUCAAGACUCAUCCUGUGUUACCACAACUUUUCUCUAUUAAUUAAAGUCAGCAACGAAAUGUAGAUCCAUGACUUUCUUGUUUAGAACUAUACUUCACUGUGUUGGGGGUAUUCCGUCACAGGCAUACAAAAUCCAGGGAUUUAAGUUCUUUCUGUUAUUUUA
Long non-coding RNA from Cuculus canorus (common cuckoo), 944 nucleotides. RefSeq lists it as uncharacterized. The record is from RefSeq and is a predicted model, not a curated record. The transcript has 4 exons. NCBI's taxonomy places the organism in Eukaryota, Metazoa, Chordata, Aves, Cuculiformes, Cuculidae.